RNAcentral lists this ribosomal RNA (501 nucleotides) under Clostridioides difficile. Its description in RNAcentral is "bacterial LSU rRNA". It matches the Rfam family "Bacterial large subunit ribosomal RNA", at positions 2185 to 2684 of the family's 2925-position model. The record is from RNAcentral. Lineage: Bacteria; Bacillati; Bacillota; Clostridia; Peptostreptococcales; Peptostreptococcaceae.
GCCAUCCUUGGGAUACCACCCUUGUAGUACUGGGACUCUAACCAUAGGCUAUGAAUCUGGUCUUGGGACACUGUCAGGUGGGCAGUUUGACUGGGGCGGUCGCCUCCCAAAAGGUAACGGAGGCGCUCAAAGGUUCUCUCAGUACGGUCGGAAAUCGUACGUAGAGUGUAAAGGCAAAAGAGAGCUUGAUUGCAAGACAUACAGGUCGAGCAAGGAUGAAAAUCGGACUUAGUGAUCCGGUGGUUCUGCGUGGAAGGGCCAUCGCUCAACGGAUAAAAGCUACCCUGGGGAUAACAGGCUUAUCUCCCCCAAGAGUCCACAUCGACGGGGAGGUUUGGCACCUCGAUGUCGGCUCAUCACAUCCUGGGGCUGUCGUAGGUCCCAAGGGUUGGGCUGUUCGCCCAUUAAAGUGGUACGCGAGCUGGGUUCAGAACGUCGUGAGACAGUUCGGUCCCUAUCCGUCGCAGGCGUAGGAAAUUUGCGAAGACCUGUCCUUAGUAC